GUGAAUCAUCAAAUUUUUGAACGCAAAUUGCACUCUCUUCGGAGAGUAUGCCUGUUUGAGUGUCAGUCUAAAAAAAAUCGACGUAAUCGCUGUUUCGCGGUUACAUUCGUCGGAAAUUGGGUCAUCUUAAACCUUUUGGUUUUUUAAGCGGAUUAAAAUUUUCUAUACGAUUCCACGAACGUUUCUAUGAUUUUCUUCUUACGUUUAAGGUAU
This 213-nucleotide unclassified non-coding RNA is filed under the name Glomus sp. RNAcentral describes it as "partial contains 5.8S ribosomal RNA and internal transcribed spacer 2". The stretch from base 1 to 65 matches the Rfam family "5.8S ribosomal RNA", at positions 84 to 154 of the family's 154-position model. The record is from RNAcentral. Lineage: Eukaryota; Fungi; Glomeromycota; Glomeromycetes; Glomerales; Glomeraceae.